This 73-nucleotide transfer RNA is filed under the name Chloracidobacterium sp. RNAcentral describes it as "tRNA-Glu". It matches the Rfam family "tRNA". From Rfam's summary of the family: Transfer RNA (tRNA) molecules are approximately 80 nucleotides in length. Their secondary structure includes four short double-helical elements and three loops (D, anti-codon, and T loops). Further hydrogen bonds mediate the characteristic L-shaped molecular structure. tRNAs have two regions of fundamental functional importance: the anti-codon, which is responsible for specific mRNA codon recognition, and the 3' end, to which the tRNAs corresponding amino acid is attached (by aminoacyl-tRNA synthetases). tRNAs cope with the degeneracy of the genetic code in two manners: having more than one tRNA (with a specific anti-codon) for a particular amino acid; and 'wobble' base-pairing, i.e. permitting non-standard base-pairing at the 3rd anti-codon position. Lineage: Bacteria; Pseudomonadati; Acidobacteriota; Blastocatellia; Chloracidobacteriales; Chloracidobacteriaceae. The record is from RNAcentral.
GGGACUGUGGGCCAGCGGAGUGGCCGCAGCGCCCUCAACGCUGAAAUCGUCGGUUCAACUCCCACCAGUCCCG